This 207-nucleotide ribosomal RNA is filed under the name uncultured bacterium. RNAcentral's name for it is "partial 16S ribosomal RNA". It matches the Rfam family "Bacterial small subunit ribosomal RNA", at positions 568 to 774 of the family's 1533-position model. The record is from RNAcentral.
AGCGUAGGCGGGCCGCCAAGCGUUCUGUGCAAUCCCGGGGCCCAACCCCGGACCCGCAGAGCGAACUGGCGUCCUUGAGUGGUUCAGAGGCCGGCGGAAUUCCUGGUGUAGCGGUGGAAUGCGUAGAUAUCAGGAAGAACACCGAUGGCGAAGGCAGCCGGCUGGGGACCCACUGACGCUGAGGCUCGAAAGCGUGGGAAGCAAACA